CCAAUAGCGUAUAUUAAAGUUGUUGCAGUUAAAAAGCUCGUAGUUGAAUUUCAGGCCUGGCUGGACGGUCCGCCCUUCGGGUGAGUACUGUCUGUGGUCGGGUCCUACUUUCUGGCGAAUCGUCAUGGCCUUAACCGGCCGUGGCGGGGAACCAGGACUUUUACUGUGAAAAAAUUAGAGUGUUCAAAGCAGGCAAUCGC
Molecule: ribosomal RNA, 200 nt
Filed under: uncultured Paraglomeraceae
Lineage: Eukaryota; Fungi; Glomeromycota; Glomeromycetes; Paraglomerales
Description: partial small subunit ribosomal RNA
Rfam family: Eukaryotic small subunit ribosomal RNA
Source: RNAcentral